Molecule: ribosomal RNA, 429 nt
Filed under: Chloroflexota bacterium
Lineage: Bacteria; Bacillati; Chloroflexota
Description: Chloroflexi bacterium partial 16S ribosomal RNA
Rfam family: Bacterial small subunit ribosomal RNA
Source: RNAcentral
UGGGGAAUAUUGCACAAUGGGCGCAAGCCUGAUGCAGCCAUGCCGCGUGUAUGAAGAAGGCCUUCGGGUUGUAAAGUACUUUCAGCGGGGAGGAAGGGAGUAAAGUUAAUACCUUUGCUCAUUGACGUUACCCGCAGAAGAAGCACCGGCUAACUCCGUGUCAGCAGCCGCGGUAAUACGGAGGGUGCAAGCGUUAAUCGGAAUUACUGGGCGUAAAGCGCACGCAGGCGGUUUGUUAAGUCAGAUGUGAAAUCCCCGGGCUCAACCUGGGAGCUGCAUCUGAUACUUGCAAGCUUGAGUCUCGUAGAGGGGGGUAGAAUUCCAGGUGUCGCGGUGAAAUGCGUAGAGGUCUGGAGGAAUACCGGUGGCGAAGGCGGCCCCCUGGACGAAGACUAACGCUCAAAUGCGAAAGCAUGGGGAUCAAACAGG